Molecule: ribosomal RNA, 497 nt
Filed under: uncultured bacterium
Lineage: Bacteria
Description: partial 16S ribosomal RNA
Rfam family: Bacterial small subunit ribosomal RNA
Source: RNAcentral
GAUGAACGCUGGCGGCGUGCCUAAUACAUGCAAGUCGAGCGAACAGACGAGGAGCUUGCUCCUUCGACGUUAGCGGCGGACGGGUGAGUAACACGUAGGUAACCUACCUAUAAGACUGGGAUAACUUCGGGAAACCGGAGCUAAUACCGGAUAAUAUUUCGAACCGCAUGGUUCGAUAGUGAAAGAUGGCUUUGCUAUCACUUAUAGAUGGACCUGCGCCGUAUUAGCUAGUUGGUAAGGUAACGGCUUACCAAGGCAACGAUACGUAGCCGACCUGAGAGGGUGAUAGGCCACACUGGAACUGAGACACGGUCCAGACUCCUACGGGAGGCAGCAGUAGGGAAUCUUCCGCAAUGGGCGAAAGCCUGAAGGAGCAACGCCGCGUGAGUGAUGAAGGUCUUCGGAUCGUAAAACUCUGUUAUUAGGGAAGAACAAACGUGUAAGUAACUGUGCACGUCUUGACGGUACCUAAUCAGAAAGCCACGGCUAACUACGUG